AUCGUUCAUCCUCUUAAAGAGGACGCAAGUAAGCCGACUCGGAACGGAAU
This 50-nucleotide non-coding RNA is filed under the name unclassified sequences. RNAcentral describes it as "glnA RNA". It matches the Rfam family "Glutamine riboswitch aptamer (glnA leader)". RNAcentral also lists the same sequence under 1 other name. The record is from RNAcentral.